AGGCGAUGUAGGUCACUGAGGUUUCACACAAAACUAGACGAUAAUCCACCGUAAAUACGACAAAUUGCGACGUUGUUGAUGUAGAAGACAUGUAUUGGUUUCUCUCCAUUCACCAAGAUGUUCUCACCUGUACACACAUCUGUAUCUCAGUAUUAAGAACAUCCUCACUGAAUUUGAGCUGCUGCUGAGUUUACAGGCACAAUGGAGGAGUCAUGUACAGGACCAUAAAACCAUCACUCUAUGGGCUCGGGGAGAAUCUGGCUUCCUUUGCUGUGUCUUCAAACAUUCAUCGCUACGGGAGACGUGUCUGCUGGGAUAAAGCACGCCGUGAGCUGUCGCCAUAGCGAUGGAUUGCAGCAGAGGCCCGGGGGAGGAGAUGGCAGAGACCCAACUGGGAGAAGAAAGGGGGAUUUUUGUGGACGAUUGUGCAUUUUUAAUCUGUUACAUACUGUAUUACAACAACAGUUUUCCUUAAACUAAGAAUAAAAAA
Molecule: long non-coding RNA, 490 nt
Organism: Acanthopagrus latus (yellowfin seabream)
Lineage: Eukaryota; Metazoa; Chordata; Actinopteri; Spariformes; Sparidae
Exons: 3
Source: RefSeq, a predicted model, not a curated record